GCGUCGUUCCUUCUCCGACUCAUUUCCCCUAAAGGUUGAGCCUAUGGGGAGUGGGCGGUAGGGUGUGAUUGGAAACGGUCACGCCUCCCGUGCUUGGAAAGGAGAUUGGACGGCAGGCAG
Molecule: non-coding RNA, 120 nt
Filed under: Anaerolineaceae bacterium
Lineage: Bacteria; Bacillati; Chloroflexota; Anaerolineae; Anaerolineales; Anaerolineaceae
Description: MoCo sequence
Rfam family: Molybdenum/Tungsten riboswitch aptamer (Moco RNA motif)
Source: RNAcentral